This 72-nucleotide transfer RNA is filed under the name Bos taurus (domestic cattle). It matches the Rfam family "tRNA". Rfam says of the family: Transfer RNA (tRNA) molecules are approximately 80 nucleotides in length. Their secondary structure includes four short double-helical elements and three loops (D, anti-codon, and T loops). Further hydrogen bonds mediate the characteristic L-shaped molecular structure. tRNAs have two regions of fundamental functional importance: the anti-codon, which is responsible for specific mRNA codon recognition, and the 3' end, to which the tRNAs corresponding amino acid is attached (by aminoacyl-tRNA synthetases). tRNAs cope with the degeneracy of the genetic code in two manners: having more than one tRNA (with a specific anti-codon) for a particular amino acid; and 'wobble' base-pairing, i.e. permitting non-standard base-pairing at the 3rd anti-codon position. Lineage: Eukaryota; Metazoa; Chordata; Mammalia; Artiodactyla; Bovidae. RNAcentral also lists the same sequence under 4 other names. The record is from Rfam by way of RNAcentral.
UCUUUGAUGGCUCAGAUGGUAAAGAAUCUGCUUUCAAUGCAGGAGGCUCAGGUUUGAUUCCUGGGUGAGGAA